UUUGUCUCUGUUUAGAAUCAGUGAGCGCCAAGCUCGGUGUAUUCUGUUAUCAGUUAGUGCUCCUGUCUCAACUGUGUGGUUGUUCUUAAUCUAGUUUUCAUUCAAACCGUACGGCGGCUAGAAAAACCAACCGUGAGAGUGCCCUGCUAUGGCAGAGCUGGUUUCGAAAACCUUCACAGUAAAUCUGCAGAGGGAUGGCUUGUCCCAGCCGUGGGGACUUCGUCUCACCGGGGGAUGUGACCUGGGUGCGCCUCUGCUCGUCACAAGGUGUCAGGCCGGCACACCAAGCGACGGUGAGCUGAAAGUUGGAGACAAAAUUCGAAAAAUUGGUGACUACGAUUCCAGAGAUCUCCGUCACAAGGAUGCACAAAAUUUGUUCAAGAAUGCCGGAAACUCUAUCAAACUUGUUGUACAGAGAGAUUCACUAGCCACACCUGCAGCGAGCGGACGCACAAGCAGGGCUUCAAGUGUUGGCCCCUCUGCUUUGCCCUCUGCUCUGCCCUCGGCCCCCCACGAGUCCUACCCACCCUACAUCAUGGCCCCCCUCAACUCGGCCCUUCUGGACACCCCCCACACCCACCACCCGCGCCCCUUCUCCGGGCUCAGCUCACCGCAUCUCCAGGAAGUCCAGGAGGAACAGUAUACUGUCACCGAACAGCCAUACAGAACAACCCCCCUGGUGCUGCCUGGUGCCAAGGUGAAAAAAGACGCACCCCCCACAGAGUCCUACCUCCGUCACCACCCCAACCCAGCCAUGAGGGCUUCCCCCCACCACCAACUCUAUCUGCCCCACGACGUGCUCAUGAAGCAGAAGGUGGCCGAUUCAGUAAUCCAAAAAGUGGUUGGAGAGGACGCAGCAGCUAAACAGGUUGUCCACAAACAGUUCAAUUCACCAAUAGGAUUAUAUUCAGAUCAGAACAUCAAGGAUACAAUCCAUUCACAGACCGGCGUCACACCAAUUUUCAUUGACCUGUCCUUCCUCAAACAAAAAACCCAUGCACCCCCCAAAAACCCCCGAUAUUAAUAAAUUAUGCUUUUUCCAAAUUUCUAAAUUAAUUUUGUAACAACCCUCGUUUUAUAACUAUAUAUUUAUUGAAUUAAUAAUUUUCCCAAUUUGUACUAAAUUAACGGUUCUGAAUUGAUUGAGAUAACUUCCCUUGUUUUUACCGUAUUUAUUAAAUUUUAAUGAAUAAAUUAUUACCCCACAUACCUAUACUUAUCAAAUAUAACGUUCCCUAACGGAUUGUUAAAAACUAAUAUAUUUCAAUAUUUAUACCUAAUUUUGAUUGGAUGAAAACUAUGAUUAUAUAAAAACUUGAAUGUAUGGGUUUUUGUGAUAUAUUUAUUAUGUUUUCUUCUUUCAAACACUUGAAUGAUUUCAAUAAUAUUUAUUGUUCAUUUAUAAAAACAUUCUUAUAUUGUGAUUAUCCAAUAACUAACAUACAUGUCUUCUAUAUUCAAUACGAAACACUCUAUUAUAAUGUAAUAUAAUAAUAUAUCUCUCAUUCAUCUUUCUCAUAUUCUACAAUCAUUUUAAAUUCAAUCAAUAUUUUCCAAUUUUAUAAACGCCAUCGCGACUCAUUCAAUUUCAAUACUAUCAAUAUUUUACAAUUUCAUUCAUAAAUAUAUCUCAAUUCAACUCAUAAUUUGAAUCAUUCAAUUUCAACAUUAUCAUUAUUUUCAAAUUUCAUCAAUAAUUCAAUUUUAUGCAUUAAUAUAUUUUUUCCAAUUAUCACUCAUAAAUCGAAAAAAAAUCAAUUCAAAAUCACCUCACACGCCACCUCAUAACUGUGCAAUCGUUUGUUUCAUGUUUCUCAAUCAUUUUUCAUGUUUCAUUUUUCUUCUAUCAACAACUAUACUUUCUACCAACCACCUCUUUCCAUCAACAACUCCUUUUUAUCCACCAUUUCUUUCCAUAAACCAAUUCUUUUUAUCAACUAAUUAAUCCUUUUUAUCAACCACUAUACAUUCUAUCAACCACUUCCUUCCAUCAACCACCUCUUUCCAUCAACAACUCCUUUUUAUCAACCAUUUCUAUCCAUAAACCAAUUCUUUUUAUCAACUAAUUAAUUCCUUUCAUCAACCACUUUACUUUCUAUCAACCACCUCUUUCCAUCAACAACUCCUUUUUAUCAACCAUUUCUUUCCAUAAACCAAUGCAUUCUAUCAACUAAUUCUCUUCAUCAAUCACUCCUUUGUGUUUUAUUGUUUUAUCACUUUCAAAUAACUUAAAUGUGGUUCCUACGUUUUUGUUUCUCUGCUCAUCUGUCUGUUUUCUUUGACCGCUUGACCCCGCCCACCCUUGCCCGGCUUCUGACUCAAUAAACCAAUACUGACCCGAUGCGCUACUCUGAUUGGUCCUCCUCUUUCCCCGGCCGCUGGCCAAUCAGCAGCAACCUGAAGAAGACAGUCGUCUACGAUCCGGCCAAGUCGGAGACAUACAAGGCGUUGAAGGAGGACGAACUGGGUGACGUCAUACAGGAGGUCUCUGUGCCCGUACAACCCAAGGUCUUCUCGCCUACAAAGGCUGUUAACCCCAAGUUGAACUCCCUUGGUGUUUCAAACGAGGAAAUUCAGCAAAGCAACAGCUUCAAGCGUCUGAUGUUCAUGGUCAUGAAUGACGAAUAAAAAGUGCUAAAAAUGGUUGAAAAACGAACUGUAAGAAGGGGAAACGGAUAGGCGGUUGUAUUGUAAUAUAAAUAAGGAACGAAUGAUUCAAUCUUGUAAAAACGAAUGGCUAAUUACGUACUUAAUGAGAUCAAUAUAAGCAAAAACCUAUAUGUAGCCCAAAUUAUGAACAAAAUAAAUUUUUAGUCCAAAAGUUUUCAUUCAUUAACGUGAUGGAUAAUCAAUUUUGAAUGAACUCUGAUCAUCAAUCAAUGUAAUUAAAGAAAUAUAUAUCUACUAUAUUACCAACUGAGUAAAAUAAAUUAUACUUUAUCAUAAUGUAGGCUACGGUACUUUGUAUUAUACAUAGUAUUAUCCUGAAAAUAUAAUUAAUUAUAUACUAGCUCAAUCAAAUGCAUUAGCAAUUGUAGCUGAGUAUUUUGUACGUAUUUUUCUUAUUCAUAUAUAACUAGCUAUUCAAAGUAUUUUCUGUUCGAGUUUUGUUUAAUUUAUUCAUUUCUUGGUACAGUGUGAAAUCUGUUACCCCUGAGUCAAAUCUAGUCAAAUGCUUUUCACCGAAAUUAAUCUUCGUGAAGGGCUGCUUUAUACAUAAUUUAUUUAUUUAUUCACUACCAUAUAUUAUUAUAUACUUGUAGGUUGUUAUUGUGUUUAAAUUCACACAUAAUUUAUGUAAAUUUACUCAUAAAUGCUUUGUAAACUGCACACAAAACAUGAAUAGAUAAUUGGAUGUAUGAUAGGCUGUUAAUUUAAGAGAGUUAGCUGAUAAAUGUGAUGUUAUUUAUUGUAUUGAUCAGACAGUAUUCUAAUAGUCGAAUAUAAAUGAAGAGUGGAUCUAAUUUAUGUAUAAUAGUUUCAAAGUCAUUCAUAAAUAGAAAUGACUUUUGAGAAUUAUUGUAUCGAUGAGUAGAACAAAACAAAAAACAUUUAUUUAAAGCUAUUGAAGAAAUAAUGUCAAUAGGUAUUGUACUGUAAAUUAUUUAUAACUAAUGAAAGAAUUUUCUUCUGGGGUGGGUGAUUAUGAAACUGAACAUCGUUAUCAUUGGAAAUUUCAAGAGGUGAAGGUUUUGAUUGAAACUAAAGAUUUGUUUGUGGCAUGAUUUUUAAAUUAAUAAACUGAAAUUAAUGACAAGGAUUACGAUUCUCAAGAGAUACAAAUAUUAAAUGUGAGACGUGCUUAUUAAUUUAAAUUUGAUGGAUAUUUCAAAACAUUGUGACAAAAAUCGACUUUUGAACGAUCAUCACCCAUCAGAAUGAGUCAUCAAAUGUUGUUUAUCCAACACCUUCUACUAUUUCUCGAUAGAAUGUUAUCUCUAACACAGACUAAGUUCAAAAUUGAAUCGAGCCCGAGUUAUUUAAAGAUUAUGUUUUUUUUCUCUCGAAUGACUCAAAUCCAAACUGUGAGCCAAGUAUUUUGCGUAGGCGGUUGAACACAGCAAAAGGUUUGCAGCUCAAAUUCAGUUUAAAAAGUUUACUGGAGUGUUUUGUUACUUUUUCUAUUAUUUUUACACUCAAAACAAGCCAAGUCACAAGAAUGUAUGCUUCUACUGUGUAAUCUAUCAGUACUUUCUAUUUUGAAAAUAAAUAAACUAAUGUAUUUAUUGUCAA
RNAcentral lists this unclassified non-coding RNA (4233 nucleotides) under Nilaparvata lugens (brown planthopper). Its description in RNAcentral is "pDZ and LIM domain protein Zasp-like, transcript variant X15". Lineage: Eukaryota; Metazoa; Arthropoda; Insecta; Hemiptera; Delphacidae. The record is from RNAcentral.